This 450-nucleotide ribosomal RNA is filed under the name uncultured bacterium. Its description in RNAcentral is "bacterial SSU rRNA". It matches the Rfam family "Bacterial small subunit ribosomal RNA", at positions 354 to 796 of the family's 1533-position model. The record is from RNAcentral.
GUGGGGAAUAUUGGACAAUGGGGGGAACCCUGAUCCAGCCAUGCCGCGUGUGUGAAGAAGGCCUUUUGGUUGUAAAGCACUUUAAGUUGGGAGGAAGGGCAGUAAGUUAAUACCUUGCUGUUUUGACGUUACCGACAGAAUAAGCACCGGCUAACUUCGUGCCAGCAGCCGCGGUAAUACGAAGGGUGCAAGCGUUAAUCGGAAUUACUGGGCGUAAAGCGCGCGUAGGUGGUUUUGUAAGUUGGAGGUGAAAUCCCCGGGCUCAACCUGGGAACUGCAUCCAAAACUGCAUGACUAGAGUACGGUAGAGGGUAGUGGAAUUUCCUGUGUAGCGGUGAAAUGCGUAGAUAUAGGAAGGAACACCAGUGGCGAAGGCGACUACCUGGACUGAUACUGACACUGAGGUGCGAAAGCGUGGGGAGCAAACAGGAUUAGAAACCCCGGUAGUCC